This is a long non-coding RNA of Peromyscus leucopus (white-footed mouse), 445 nucleotides long. RefSeq lists it as uncharacterized. The transcript is spliced from 2 exons. The record is from RefSeq and is a predicted model, not a curated record. NCBI's taxonomy places the organism in Eukaryota, Metazoa, Chordata, Mammalia, Rodentia, Cricetidae.
AGCCAAUGGGCGUAUGGAGGUUGCUUACAGGAAUGUGGGUGAGGAGGAGUCACUAAUUGAAAAACGCCCUCUACCCCACCAGCGCAGGAUGGAGUGUCUUCAAGCUGGAGGGACCACUCAGCAGAUCCCCUCUGCCAUGUUAUGAUGCUGGAAGACCAGACGCUAGUGUGUGUUCACACAGACUUGCCAGCCUCCAAAACUAUCAGCAACAGCUACCCUUUCUCUUUAUAAAUAACCCAGCUGUGGUUUCUGUUGAUACGAUUUCCCCAUUGACAAGGCUCCCUGGUGACAGACAGGCUUUCCCCCCCCCUUCCUGCUACAGAGAUAACUUCAUAAACAGAAAUUUCCUUCCUAGAUGUCAAUCUCUCUUAGGAAAUGAAAAAUUCUGCUCCGGUUUCAGAGUCCUGUGUCUGCAGUUUCUCAAAAAAAUAAAUAAAUAAAAAUC